Molecule: ribosomal RNA, 169 nt
Filed under: uncultured bacterium
Lineage: Bacteria
Description: partial 16S rRNA
Rfam family: Bacterial small subunit ribosomal RNA
Source: RNAcentral
CCUACGGGAGGCAGCAGUAAGGAAUUUUCCSCAAUGGGCGAAAGCCUGACGGAGCGACGCCGCGUGUGGGAAGAAGGCCUUCGGGUCGUAAACCACUGUCGAGGGGGACGAUAUUGACGGUACCCCUGGAGGAAGCCCCGGCUAACUWCGUGCCAGCAGCCGCGGUAAU